This 67-nucleotide transfer RNA is filed under the name Rhampholeon spectrum. RNAcentral describes it as "tRNA-Ala". The record is from RNAcentral. Lineage: Eukaryota; Metazoa; Chordata; Lepidosauria; Squamata; Chamaeleonidae.
GAAAGCCCGUUGAAUCUAUCAACAUCUGCUGAAUGCAACUCAGGCACUUUAAUUAAGCUAAAGCUUC